Bombyx mori (domestic silkworm) is the source of this 86-nucleotide non-coding RNA. NCBI's taxonomy places the organism in Eukaryota, Metazoa, Arthropoda, Insecta, Lepidoptera, Bombycidae. The record is from Rfam.
UUAGCUCAUAUUUUUGUAUGGAAUGGGAUCGUUUGCCUACGUUUGCCGUUAGGGGCGCUGUUCCAACUGCAUACAAAAUUGAGUUA